GGGGAAUUAGGGUUCGAUUCCGGAGAGGGAGCCUGAGAAACGGCUACCACAUCUAAGGAAGGCAGCAGGCGCGCAAAUUACCCAAUCCUAAUACAGGGAGGUAGUGACAAGAAAUAACAAUACAGGACUUUUUGGUUUUGUAAUUGGAAUGAGUUAAGUAUAAACCCCUUUACAAGUAUCAAUUGGAGGGCAAGUCUGGUGCCAGCAGCCGCGGUAAUUCCCAGCUCCAAUAGCGUAUAUUAAAGUUGUUGCAGUUAAAAAGCUCGUAGUUGGAUUUCUGUUAAUAAUUUAUAUAUAAUAUUUGAUUAAUAUUUAUAUAAUAUUAACAUAAUUCAUAUUACUAAAUUUAUUAGUAUAUGAAAUUUUACUUUGAGAAAAUUAGAGUGCUUAAAGCAGGCAUAUGCCUUGAAUACUCCAGCAUGGAAUAAUAUUAAAGAUUUUUAUCUUUCUUAUUGGUUCUAAGAUAAAAAUAAUGAUUAAUAGGGACAGUUGGGGGCAUUUGUAUUUAACAGUCAGAGGUGAAAUUCUUAGAUUUGUUAAAGACAAACUAAUGCGAAAGCAUUUGCCAAGGAUGUUUUCAUUAAUCAAGAACGAAAGUUAGGGGAUCGAAGACGAUCAGAUACCG
Molecule: ribosomal RNA, 625 nt
Filed under: Cryptosporidium meleagridis
Lineage: Eukaryota; Apicomplexa; Conoidasida; Eucoccidiorida; Cryptosporidiidae
Description: SSU rRNA
Rfam family: Eukaryotic small subunit ribosomal RNA
Source: RNAcentral